UUAAGUUCCCUGAUAUUUGAAGUCAGUGACAAGUGACAAUAAAAAUAUCUGUUUACUAACAAUAAAAAUGUCUGGUCUCAGAAACAGAAACAGAAGGGGGUUCUCGGUAGAGUAACUACCUAAACUGUAUGGUAGUUAGUGAUGGUCACCUCCUGCUACCCAGUAGGUCUGGGGUGGAGAGACUUUAAAAUAUGCUCUGGAGUUAAAGAGGAGCAUUAAGGAAACCGAAAGGACCAGUGCAUCCGGAAGGAAACAGGAAGCGAGACAAGAAAAGAGUCUUGGCUCUCCUAAGAAGCCGGCUCCUGGAGGUUUCCCCACAUCGAGGCACCGCCAGCAGCGAGCAUGGACUCUGCAGCUUGCUUGCUCCACCAAGGCAAGGCUUCAGAGCUGGAAACCUGCCACCUGCUGAAUCACCAAACAUCCCUUGGGCUCCCCUUAGAAAGAAAGAAAAACUGACCCAACCCCGGCUGGCUUUUUCCUCGGACACUUAACACUGACCAAUGAAACACCUGAACAUCCAUCCUCUCCCCUGCCUCACAGACCUCAAAAACUGCCUCUAAAACCUCAGGCAACUUCCACCAGGAUCAAUCGCACUCCUCAUUAAUCUCGCUCCUUUCUGCUCCCCCAGUCCCUACCCGUGCUGAUGUUCAACUCCCAGUGCCAGAAGGCAUGGGGAGUUCACAACACAAGCAUGGCAGGCAUUCACCAUUUCCACAACCAAACAGCCAAGCAGAAACAUCCCAAUCUGAGGACGGUAAAUUUCGGGAGAGCUAUGACAGAAGGCAGGCCUCAGAACACAGCAAAUAAACUUCCAGUCAGAAGCCAGCCUUCUGUCUUUUUUUGUAAGUGUGCGUGUGCACCGCUGAACUCUGUCCUGUCUGAAGGUGAAACGAAACAUCCAAGAAGCACCUGCCCGGAUUCUCUCAGCUCCCCAGGUCCACAGCAUCCUUCACCCUGACUGUUACUCCAGACAGUCAAAAGGGAUCAAGCGUUAACCAGAACGCGCCAGGAUGAAUGAAUCCGUUAGCUGGACCAGGGCACCGGGACCACUUAAGGAAAAUAGCCGGAGUGCGGGUUAUGACUCGGGCAGAGGCACCCACUGCUGCCGCUGAUGUGCCUGCCCUUGACAAGUCGCCUGCGAUCAGGCAGACCCCCCUCGUUCUCCGGGCGAGCCGCGACCAGAGACAACUACGCUGACGCCCCUGCAGGCCUUACUCUUUAACACCCCCACGCGGCGGGGACACGCGGGGUCUCAGAGCAGUCGCGAGCCGGGGGCUGUUACGCCGCCUGGGGAGGAGGGGCUCGCUCCUCCGGGAAGGGGGUCCCACCUGUUAUGUCGUUGGGGGGUCAUCGAAGGGCCGUGCCGAAGGGAAUCCCAACGCCGCGGGCGCCUAGCCGGCUGCGAUCAGACCAGGGGUACCAACUGUCACUCCGCCACCCGGGCUGUGGGGGUGGGGCUGCGAUUUGGGGGUCCACCCCUGAACACUGCGGGACCUCCGGCCGGCUGUCGCUCGAAAGGUCCUCGGCUCUGGGCUCUCGGGCCCCGCCACAGUCCGCUCGCCCCGAUAUGACACCAGGCAGCCUUCCAGCCCGCACGCAGCACCUCGGAAAGGUGCCCACUGACGCCUCCGCCUUCCUCCCCGCCCAAGUUGGCGGGGGAGCCCCGCCGGCGGCCCGCCCCCUCGGAGCCGGGAUCGCGGCCGCCAGAGCGCUCCCCCGCGCCCACCCCCACGAGCGGCCGCGGGGGACCGCCCGCCAGGGGCGGAAGUUAGAAGAGGAGUUCUCGUUCCUGAGGCGCCGGUACCGCUCCCACUGCUUCCCUGUUGUGACCCAUUCCCGGCGACGGGAGGAUGGAGGUGGCGGAAGACGUCAGGACCGCCGCCGCUCCCCUCCAUGCAUUUCCCCUGCCGCCGGUCAGGUUCCAUGGUGAUGCUGUUAUAGUCACUUGGUGUCCCUGAAAUCUCUGGACCCUCGACCUCACCACCCGAGGAUGCAUUACCACACCUAGACCCACGGAAUCAGAAACGCUAUUGGUGGGGUCCUCCCUGAAAUCUGGUUAACAAGCCCUCAGGGUGAACCUAAAUGCCGCUUUCCCUAAGCCCUUGAGACCCGUUUUCAUGUGAGACGCUGAAAACUUGGGAAAAAACGGAUUCAAAAUGCAGCCUGCUCCUGGCCAGGCGCUUGGGGUCUCUCGUCCUCUCCUGCAUCCCUGGCCUCUUCACCCCAGGACACUAUGCUACUGCACUUACACCGUGUUUUUACAUGACAACAGACAUUCAGUUCAGUUUGGAGUGUCAACCAAGAGCAGGAGAGUGCCUGAGCGGCUUAGUAGCCCCACUGGGUAUUAAACAUCAGUUUAAAAGAUAAAAGGAAGGCUUGCUGGUUUUUGACAUGAGUGCUGGACAGCCACUGGCUACUUCGCACUUGCUGUAACCGAGGUCAAAACAGCAUUUGCACAGAGCUGGGCUCUACUACCCCAGUAGAGCUACAAGAGAGAACUGGCUUCCUGGGUCAUUACUGUGAGUAAGGGGCACCAAUGCCCUCCAGAUAUUUGUCUCCUUCUAAAGCUUUGAAACAAUUCCCUUCAGGAAAAAAGAAAAGUUUUACUCCGGAAAGCAUCUCACUAAAGGCCAUGCUACUCAACACUUGGCAUUUAUGAGAGUGUCACAUGCCACACCUUUAAAAGGGACCGAGGGCUGUGGAGAUGACUCAGCAGGUUGAUGUACUUGCUACCAUACCUCACAGUCUGAGUUCCAUCCCCAUGUAGUACGAGAGACCCAACUCCUCCAAGCCGUCCUCUGACCUUUAUACUCCCUCCAUGACACACCUGCCCGCACAUAUGCACACAAAAUAAAACAAAUAAAUGUGAUUUACUUGAGGAUUUACAGCCAGCCUCACCCUCCCCUCCCGGACAGCCACAGCCUGUAUUCUGAAUCACCCUCCUACCCUCUGCAAUGUGACACUCAAUGCCACCAUCCUGGUACUAUUUCUGUCUUGAAGAUAACGUUGAGGACCAGAGCUGGAACCAAAAGAUGAAAAGACCUGGUCAGUAAAGGAGACUGGGGUGGGGGGGAGGGGUCAAGGAAGACAGAGACAACUCUGGUGCACAGUGGAGGCUUACCAAGAGGAGGAACAGUGAGAAGCUACUUGACAGGAGACAACUGAGGGGCCAUAGCAUCACCCCCCUUGUCCUCACCAUAUGGCUCCAAGAAUCACAGUGGACACCUAACACCUCAAGCAGCCAUCUCUAAAUGGAUUGGUUUCCCCAUGGCCCCUGCAGUAUUGCCAGAGUAACCUGCUCUUCUGUGCUGUGUGCUGCAUCGAGCCUUCUUUGCAUCUCAACACUUCUGCUUUUG
This 3356-nucleotide long non-coding RNA is filed under the name Cricetulus griseus (Chinese hamster). RNAcentral's name for it is "lncRNA (ENSCGRG00015021553.2)". The record is from RNAcentral. Lineage: Eukaryota; Metazoa; Chordata; Mammalia; Rodentia; Cricetidae.